RNAcentral lists this long non-coding RNA (16269 nucleotides) under Solanum tuberosum (potato). RNAcentral's name for it is "long non-coding RNA (STUB_LNC004493)". Lineage: Eukaryota; Viridiplantae; Streptophyta; Magnoliopsida; Solanales; Solanaceae. The record is from RNAcentral.
CUGUCUCUCUAAAAUCUAAAAGGAUUUUCACAGAGGAGAAGAGUUACUAAACUCUUUUUCACAGAGGAAGGAGAAAUCGUUUCCAGAAUCGUUUGAAAGAGCUACUGUAAACUCUUCUCCUUUUUAGGGUUUUAAUUUGGUUGAGGUACUGUAAAGUCUCUUCCUCUUUAGGGUUUCAAUUUGGUUGAGGUACGGUAAAUUCUCCUACUCUUUAGUAUGUAAUUUUGCUCGAGGAAACUUCCAAGGGUUGCUUGAAUUAGAAAACUGUUUCAAAAAUACAUUUAUUAGUUGCAACAUAUGAAAGUUUUCCUCAAUUAGGCAUUUUCUUGCGUUUGUUAUUGUUUCUCUUUGCGUGAUGGGCUCGAUUUUGCUUCCGCUUUAUGAUAAUUCUCCAUAUAAAAAGGGGAAAAAUCACUUCCAAUUUUAUUCAGAAUUUGUAUAACUAUACAUUUAACAGGUAAUUGUAAAUACUAGUACUAUCCGUACCAUUUAUCGUUUUGUACUUGUCGUAUUUGUUUUAUUUACAGUAGGAUUUUAAGUGAGAUCAAUUGCUUACGUUACUACUUAGCUUACUUUAUGCUUCGCAUCAAGUGGUAAAAACUGAUCUAAAAAUGAUUAUUUGAUAUGUCAUGUAGCUCGUAAGAGUAUUUAAUCUGCAAAUGUUUGGUGGUUGUAGCCUUACAUACUGAUUAUUUAUUUGUUAUUUGAUUUCAUGCCUUGGUUUGUUAUGGGAUAGAUGUUAAAUGUACUGUAAUGUUUGUUUUGUUAUUUCUUAGUUCUCACCUACAUAUGUUCGUCUCUUAUGUGUAUACAACUGGUAGUGUCUGGGAACCUGUGGAUCAUCACGCCUGAUUAGUAGGAAGAAAGUUGUAGGUCUCUAGUCCCUACGAGCAAUACUCGUUUUUUUCCUUAACUACUACGUACUCUAAUAGAGUUCAACUAUAUCUUCCUUUGUGUGAAUAAUCCCUUUGUUUGAGUUGAGGUAAUAGAUUUUUCAUGCUUGGUUAAUUUUAGAUGAUGAUAUAUGCUACAUACUAGGCUGGAAACACAAAUCUUUUGGGGGUAAGGAGGGGGGUAUAUUGCAAGGCUGGAAAAGAGAGAGAGGAAUCAUCAUUUUAAAUAAGUAUAACUGGUUUAAGAUUACUAGAUUAAUUGUUGCUGAACAAAAUCUGCUAUCCAGUGAAUUGAUUGAUACCUCUUGUUUGGUUGGAAGAUUCUUGUGCUUAUUAUACUAGUUUACGUUCCGUUAAGGUAAAAGGACGGGGUUUAAACAGAAUUUGUAAGGUCAGGAGUGAUAAAAGAAGACUGAGUAAAAAAAACGCAGAGUUAGUUGAUCAAUUUUAUUAGUAGUAAAUAAAUAAGAUGAGUUGUGCUCAUUCCUCCUCAAUCCUGCUUGGCUAUUCUGACGGCAACCAUAAAACAAGAGUAAAGGAUCACUCAUUUUUAAGCAAAGACUUUUCCAUCUUCCUCUCUGCCAAUAUCGUGAAUGUGACAUUAACAUGUAAACAAAGGUAUCCACUAUCCUUUUUCUUUUAUACAUUCAUACAAGUUGAAAAAAUGGUACGAGUGAAUCUAUAAAUUUAGUGAAUGAAUCUCCCAAUAAUCGGAAAGUUGACAUCAAUAAAGGCAUGAAAGUCACAUCAUACAUUCUCAACAUAUGUAAGGUAGUUUUAAAACUUUUUAUGUGUAUAUAUAUCAAUUUGGAACAAUCUAAACACGAUAUUAGAGGUUGACUUAGUGGUUAAGGGGAUUUAAAAUUCACCUCGAAGUUUCAAGUUCAAGUAUGAAGGAAGAGAAGAUAAAAGGGAUAGAAGACUAAAUUUAAUUAACACUUUUCUAGACUUUUCUUGUACUGGCAUAGGAGGAGUGUUUGGCUGGUCUAGGCAUAGCUUCACUUAGUACCAAAACACUCAACAUUACACUCCAAAGUUGGGUGGUGAAAGUGCAGCGGAAGAAGAGAUGGUUCACAUCUUUACUUUCUUUUCACAGGGAGCAUAUGCUGCCAAUGUUAAGUCCCUAUUUUUGAGAUUGCUUACUAGAUACUUAAUUAUCACUAUCUUAAUCUGAUGAUGACGAAUCAGUACCUAUUGCAUCAUUGAAUUCAUCUGACCCCAUUGCAUCCUGAAGCUUAUUUCUUGACAUAGAAACACCAGAUGUUUUUGACUGGACAACUACAGUUUAUGUGAUUCAAAUGUGAGUGUUGGAUUUGCUCUAAUAUAUUCCUUCAGACAUACACAAAUAAUAAAACAUAAGGACGGAAAAAAAAAUACAUAUAUGCAGAUCCCUUGUUUGUUUGUGGAAUCUAAUUGUACCGUGGAUGGAAUCUAACUGGCAGGUAUAUGAAAGAAGAAACUGUACAGUGGAUGGAAUCUAAUUGAUUUCUCACUUCAUUGUUUGUGCCUUAAAUGUUUACUUAUUGUGUGUCAUGUUUGAUUUCUAACAUUGGUUUGGACUUGAGAAGUGAAGUCUGAGUUUUUUGUGUGUAUUGUUUUGUGGUCAUCUAAUAAUACAAGUUUUUGUGUUUUAGUCGGUUAAAGGAAAACAUAAACAUAUAUGUUAUUAUGAUCAAUGUCAUUAUUGUUGUUUUUGAAUAAAAUGGAAGUGGAGCAUAUUAUUGUUAUUGUUAUUGUUAGAGUCAGAGUCGGUAGUAGUGGUAGGGGUGGGGAAAACAUAUUCUGGCGAGAAAUGGCUCUUUCACGAUUGUGAGAAUUCUGGUGUUCUCGAGUGCUUGACAAGUGUAGAACUUGCGAGAAUAAUAGAAGCAAGAGAACAUUCUAGAAGAAGAGAAUGUAUGUAUAUACGUUGUGAUGAGAGUGUUAUAUAGGAGAGAGUGAGUGAUAAGGAGGAGAGCAACUAUCAGUGAAUUAGCAGGACGAAUAUAGUGGUGACAUAUUAUGGCAAAACAGAAGCGAGAGAGAGAGUAUGAGUUAAUUUGUUUGUAUGGAUCAACUUUACCAUUCCUUAGUUAAAACACACGUACUUUAUAUACAUACAAUUGUUAAAAGUGUAAUACUUCAUUGCAUUUCCAGAAGUAGUUGCUAGAAACUAAAUGCUCAUGAAAUCGCUAAAUCAUGCUUUGCCUAAUCAAACCAAUAAAUAACUGGAUUGCUUUUAGAAGUGAUUCUUCCAGUCUGAACAUAUUCUGGAGUUGCAUAGCCUACCGUACCUACAACCUGAGGAAUUGCUAAGUUAGGCAAUGCACAACGAGACAUUUGAAACAUUUGGUCUAAAACAUGUCAUAGACAUUUCUGCGGCUAUAUAUCAUUUAAGGGUAAAACGAAAAGUUUAAACUUAAAAUGUUUCUAAACAUAGAAAAUGUCUUUCUUUUUUGUGACUGAUGGACAACAUCAUACGAAGUGUAGAUCCGGUGAGGUCUGGGGAGGGGACACAAACCUUACCCUUUCUCAUAGAGAUAGAGAUGUUGUUUAUGAAGACCCCUGACUCAGGUUGUGAAAAUUAAAGAACAUCAAAAAAUAGAAAUAGGGAAGAAAAAGGAUACUUACUGAUGGUGACACAUGGGUUAGUCCUGUAGUUGGACCUUGCCUAACUAGUCCAAAGUGUGAUAGUUUUGCGAUAAAGUCUUCAUCCAGAAUAAUAUUUGAUGGUUUGAAGUCUUGAAAUAUCAACUAAAACAAAGACACCAAAGAAAAAAUAACAAUGAGAAAGUUUAGAACCAGAAAUAUCCAAGGAUAGAAAUUGAUAUUGCUGACAAAAGGGCUCUGCUAUCCCUGUUAAUAGUCAAAAUGAAGUUUGUAUUGGGCUUCUAUGCACCCAAAUGUCAUGUUUUCUCUUAGGGACUUACAAACAUAAAUAAAAAGGUUUUAGUGGGUUAGCUCGGUAAUUAACAAACUCUUGAAACUAUCUAUUUAAUUCUAGAACAUGCAAUUUCGACGAAACAUAGGAAAGUGCAGAAGCAAUUGCCAUCCAGAUUUCAAAUUGUGUGAAGAAAAGAAUGAUAGUGCAAUGCUCCAUAUGCUUUAAGCCAAAUGUUCCGAAUGAGCCUUUUAUUCAUUUGAUAACUCGUCUAAUAACCAUGCAAAUACAUAAUGAAUUAGGUCUACGAAGCAGUUUGAAGAAACAAACUGCUUUAAGGUUGAUUGAACAUCUGAUUUGUCUUGCUCACAAUAAUCCAACCAAAUGUUUUUUUCUUUGGCACCUUGCCUAUCAUCCAAACCCAUCUCACAGCUAGUCUUCCUUGAUCAUUUCAUCAUAAUUUACUCAUAUUCACCUAGUGUAUUUUACCAUCCUAGAUGAUGAUCAAUAAAGAAUUCACCGCUUUAAGAAUUUAGCAAUGAGCUACACCUUUUUCUUUAAUUAGGAAACUUCGUAGAAAGGAAUGGGCUGAGGGGAGUAAAUAAAACAGAGGAAUUACUAGUUGUGAAGAUACGUAAUGGAUUCUAAUAUAUAAGAACACUUUAAAUUCCUUUUUCUCCUAUUUGUUUUUCUUCAAUAAAAAAUUAGAGUUAAUAUAUGCUUAAUUUUCUCUACAGAACUGGAUUGCUACUUAAUUUUCUCGACCACUCUGCAGGCGUCUCCUCUAUACUCUCGAUUAUAUCUCUCUUUUCACAAUCGAUGAGUUAAAACUUUAAGAUUUUCUAUUUUCCAUUUAUGAAGUACUGAUUAUGCUUAUCCAAAGUCUAUAUUUUGUCAUCCUGUUGCCUCUCUGUACUUAGCUAUCUAGAUUAUGUAUUGAAAAACGAUAUAAUAUGUGGUGUUCUCUUAGUUGCUUAAACAAGUUUAUGUCAAAUUUGAACAAUUUGUUAUAUUAUGUAGCUGAAAAAUCUCCUUUUUUAAGAUUUUAUUCUACAGAUGUGUUCUUCAUUGAAUUGUUGCUAGUUUGUCUAUUUAAAUUCUAAACUUUUUUAUUUGUGUAGAUGGAAUUUGCACAUCGUAAAUGGAUGUAUGAUAGAACUCAUCCUAAUCGUGUGGGAUUGAGGGUGGAAUUUAUAAAUGGGGUUAAAGAAUUUAUUGAAAAGGUGAAAACUAGAAAUGAUUUUCUUAUAGAAGGCACAAUUAGGUGUGCUUGUGCCAAAUGCAAGUGUAUCAAAUUAUUGAAACCAGAUAAAGUUGAAUUUCAUAUUUUGAAGAAGGAAUUUAUGGAUAAUUAUUAUGUGUGGACUAUUCAUGGAGAGAAUGACGACAAUGUAGCUAAUGUUGAUUUUCAGAAUGCGUUUGAUGGUGUGGAUAAUUCUGUAGAGAAUAAUAAUGUUGAAAAUAAUCGAUUCAAUGAAAUGUUCAGGGAUGCUUUUGGGAUGUUCCCAGGGGUUCAAUCAGAACCAAAUGAUGAGGCUAAGCGCUUCUAUGAAGAGUUAACUGAAGCUUGUCGAUCAUUAUAUGAAGGUUUAAUGCAUUCAAGUUGUCUGUUGAUGUUAGAUUGCUAAGUAUAAAGUUAGAUUAUUCCAUUUCUCAAGCAGGGAUGGAUUCUAUCAUUGGGCUUAUGAAUGACCUUAAUCCGAGUAAAAUUGACUUACCUCAAAAUUUCUACACAACAAAAAGGAUGGUUUCUAAGUUAAGACUUUCAUCAGAAAGGAUUGACUGUUGUGAAAAAGGUUGCAUGUUAUUCUAUAAAGAUGAUGCAGCUUUAGAAAAUUACAAAUUUUGUAAUCAAGCUCGUUAUAAAGAAGUCACAAAUGUCAAAAAGAAAAAGGUUCUAGUGAAGUCAAUGCAUUACUUACCCCUUAUACCUAGGUUAAAGAGGUUAUAUGCAUCAAUUAGCUCUGCUCCUCAUAUGAGAUGACAUUAUGAACAUAAAAGGCCACCUGGUGUUCUAUGUCAUUCAUCAGAUGGAGAAGCAUUUUGAUAAAGUAUUUCCUGACUUUGCUAGUGAACUUAGAAACAUUAGGUUGGGAUUAUGUAUUGAUGGAUUCACUCCAUUUGCGGUCUCUGCGGCAUCAUAUUCAUGUUGGCCAGUAUUUGUUACGCCAUAUAAUAUUCCCCAGAGUUAUGUAUGACAAGUCUAUAUUUGUUUCUAACUUGCAUUAUUUCAGGUUCACACAAUCCAAAAUAUUUGAUUGACAUAUACAUGCAGGCUUUGAUCGAUGAGUUAAAAUUGUUGUGGAAACAUAUGAUGUUUUCCAUAAAUAAAACUUCAUAAUGUGUGCUACUCUGUUGUGGAUUAUAAAUGAUUUUCCUGUUUAUGGAAUGUUGUCUUGGGUGGUCAACUACUGGUAAGUUAGCUUGCCCAUGUUGUAGAUUGCCUUUUGUAGGAAAUAUGAUUACUCAGUCCUUUUUUAAUAUUCUUAAUCCAGUACAUUAGGAGGAAACAACACGAUUCUCAAUCAGCUUCAUUGCCACCUACAAGUCACUCGAGCCAGCCAGAUGUAGGUCCUCUUAAUAUUCUUAAUCCAGUACAUUAGGACAACAAAUAGAUAUACCAAUUUAGCACUUUUUUUUUCAUGAAGUUUAUUUUUUGAGCUGCUGAUUGGGAAUCAUGUUAAUCGUUAGUCGAUUUGAUCAAUAUACUUUAUGUGCUUUAGUAUUACUUGUUCAUGUAUAAUUUCAAAAUUAAUACUCACUAAUAAUUCCUAUUGGAAACUGUAUCCUCCUCAGUGCCAAAUUAUUAUAUCUAUUUGUUGUCCUAAUGUAUUGGAUUAAGAAUAUUAAGAGGACCUACAUCUGGCUGGCUCGAGUGACUUGUAGGUGGCAAUGAAGCUGGUUGAGAAUUGAGUUGUCUCCUCCUAAAGUACUGGAUUAAGAAUAUUAAAAAAGGACUGAGUAAUCAGAUUUCUUACAAAAGGCAAUCUACAAUAUGGGCAAGCUAACUUACCAAUAGUUGACCACCUAGACAAUAUUCCAUAAGCAAGAAAAUCAUUUAUAAUCCACAUCAGAGCAACACGCAUUAUGAAGUUUUGUUUAUGGAAUACAUCAUAUGUUUCCACACCUUGAUUUCACAACAAUUUUAACUCAUCGAUCAAAGCCUGCAUGUAUAUGUCAAUCAAAUUGUUUGGAUUGUGCGGACCUACAAUAAUGCAAGUUAGGAAUAAAUAUGGACUUGUCAUACAUAACUCAGGGGGGAGAUUAUAUGGCGAAUAUGGUGCCACAGGGACCGCAAAUGGAGUGAAUCCAUCAAUACAUAAUCCCAACCCAACGUUUCUAGGUUCACUAGCAAAGUCAGGAAAUACUUUAUCAAAAUAUUUUCAUGCUUCUCCAUCUGAUGGAUGACAUAGAACACCAGGUGGCCUUUUAUGUUCAUAAUGCCAUAUCAUAUGAGGAGCAGAGUUCAUUGAUGCAUAUAACCUCUUUAACCUAGGUAUAAGGGGUAAGUAAUGCAUUGCCUUCAUUGAAACCUUCAUCCUUUUGACAUUUGUGUCUUCCUUAUAACGAGCUUGAUUACAAAAUUUGCAAUUUUCUAAAGCUGCAUCAUCUUUAUAGAAUAACAUGCAACCUUUUUCAAAACAGUCAAUACUUUCUGAUAAAAGUCCUAACUUAGAAACCAUCUUCUUUGUCGUGUAGAAAUCUUUAAGUAAGUCAAUUUUACUCGGAUUAAGCUCAUUCAUAAGCCCAAUGAUAGAAUCCAUCCCCACUUGAGAAAUUGAAUAAUCUGACUUUAUACUUAGCAAUCUAACAUCGAUAGGUUUGAUCAGCCGGGUGCUGGAUCGAAUGAACACUCAACCGCGUCAUCAUGGCAACGAUGUAUGUCCAACCUUUAGAUCUCUUCUUUCUCAAUAAAAGCGGGUAAGGAAAGUCUGAAGGCUCAUCCGACAACUGAUGGCUAGAGGGAGAAAAUCGCUUUUGCCAACCAAAGCCCCAAAACUAGUAAGGGCACUCAUGCCCCAGAAAGCCACCCCAACCCUACCACCAAAGCUUGACUUUACUAAACUAAUAAAUAAGGCUUGCGCCAGGCACUCACCUUUUUUGCUGAGCCAUAUCAUAUCUUGCUGGAAAUGAAUUUCUUCUUGAAUCUUGCUUGGUGACAACUUAGAAUGUAUUGAACCUUCGUAUAAUGGUCAACUAGCUUCAGUUAACACUUCAUAGAAGCGCUUAGCCUCAUCAUUUGGUUCUGAUUGAACCCCUGGGAACAUCCCAAAAGCAUCCCUGAACAUUUCAUUGAAUCGAUUAUUUUCAACAUUAUUAUUCUCUACAGGAUUAUCCACACCAUCAAACGCAUUCUGAAAAUCAACAUUAGCUAUAUUGGCGUCAUUCUCUCCAUGAAUAGUCCACACAUAAUAAUUAUCCAUAAAUCCCUUCUUCAAAAUAUGAAAUUCAACUUUAUCGGGUUUCAAUAACUUGAUACACUUGCCUUUGGCACAAGGACACCUAAUUGUGCCUUCUAUAAGAAAAUCAUUUCUAGUUUUCGCCUUUGCAAUAAAUUAUUUAACCCCGUUUAUAAAUUCCACCCUCAAUCCCGCACGAUUAGGAUGAGUUCUAUCAUACAUUCAUUUAUGAUGUGCGAAUUUCAUCUACAUAAAUAAAAAGUUGAGAAUUUAACUAGACAAACAAGCAACAAUUCAAUCAAGAAAACAUCUGUAAAAUAAAAUCUUAAAAAAUGAGAUUUUUCAGCUACAUUAUAUAACAAAUUGUUCAAAUUUGACAUAAACUUGUUUAAGCAAAUAAGAGAACACCGCAUAUUAUAUCGUUUUUCAACACAUAAACUAGAUAGCUAAGUACAGAGAGGCAACAAGUUGACAAAAUAUAAACUCUGGAUAAACAUAAUCAGUACUUAAUAAAUAGAAAAGCUUAAAGUUUUAACUCACCGGUUGUGAAAAGAGAGAUAUAAUCGAGAGUAUAGAGGAGACGCCUGCAGAGUGGUCGAGAAAAUUAAGUAGCAAUCCAGUUUUGUAGAGAAAAUUAAGCAUAUAUUAACUCUAAUUUUUUGAUUUAAGAGAAACAAAUAGAAGGAGAAAAAGGAAUUUAAAGUGUUCUUAUAUAUUAGAAUCCGUUACGUAUCUUCACAACUACUAAUUCCUGUGUUUAUUUACUCCCUUCAGUCCAUUCCUUUCUACGAAGUUUCCUAAUUAAAGAAAAAGGUGUAGCUCGCUGCUAAAUUCUUAAAGCGGCGAAUUGUUUAUUGAUCAUCUGGAGUAUGGUAAAAUACACUAGGUGAAUAUGAGUAAAAUAUGAUGAAACGAACAAGGAAGACUAGCUGUGAGAUGAGUUUGAAUGAUAUGUAAGGUGCCAAAGAGAAAAUCUUUUGGCUGGAUUAUUGUGACCAAGACAAAUUUGAUGUUCGAUUAAUCUUAAAGCAGUUUGUUUCUAUACCUAAUUCAUUAUGUAUUUGUAGUUAUUGGACGAGUUACCAAAUGAAUAAAAAGGCUCAUUCAGAACAUUUGGCUUAAAGCAUAUGGAGCAUUGCACUAUCAUUUUUUUCUUCACACAAUUUUGAAAUUUGGAUGGCAAUUGCUUCUGCACUCUUCUGUGUUUCUUCAAAAUUGUGUGUUUUGGAAUUAAAUAGAUAGUUUCAAGAGUUUGUUAAUUACCGAGUUAACCCACUAAACCUUUGUAUUUAUGUCUGUAAUUUCCUAAGAGAAAACAUGACUUUUUGGUGCAUAGAAGCCCAUCACAAACUUCAUUUUUACUAUUAACAGGGAUAGCAGAGAUCUUUUGUCAGCAAUAUCAAUUUCUAGCCUUUGAUAUUUCUAGUUCUAAACUUUCUCAUUGUUAUUUUUUCUUUGUUGUCUUUGUUUUAGUUGAUAUUUCAAGACUUCAAACCAUCAAAUAUUCUUCUGGAUGAAGACUUUAUCGCAAAACUAUCUGACUUUGGACUAGGUAGGCAAGAUCCAACUGCAGGACUAACCCAUGUGUCAACAUCAGUAAGUAUUUUUUUUCUUCCCUAUUUUUAUUUUCUGAUGUUCUUUGAUUUGCACAACCUGAGCCGGGGGUCUUCAAAAACAACCUCUCUACCUCCGUAGGAAAGGGUAAGGUAUGUGUCCCCUCCCCAGACCUCACCGAGACUACACUGGGUAUGAUGUUGUCCAUCAGUCCCAAAAAAGAAUGACUGUUUCUAUGUUUAGAAACAUUUUAAGUUUAAACUUCUCGUUUUACCCUCAAAUGAUAUAUAGCCGCAGAAAUGUCUAUGACAUAUUUUAGACCAAAUGUUUCAAAUAUCUCGUUGUGCAUUGCCUAACUUAGGAAUUCCUCUGGUUGUAGGUACGGUAGGUUAUGCAACUCUAGAAUAUGUUCAGACUAGAAGAAUCAUUGCUAAAAGCAAUCCAAUUAUUUAUUCGUUUGAUUAGGCAAGGCAUGAUUUAGCGAUUUCAUGAACAUUUAGUUUCUAGCAACUACUUCUGGAAAUGCAAUGAAGUAUACUUUAACAACUAUAUGUAUAUAAAGUACGUGCAUUUUAACUAAAACAAAUUAACUCAUACUCUUUCUCUCUCACUUCUGUUCUGCCAUAAUUUGGCACCAUUAUAUUCCUCCUGCUAAUUCAUUGAUAGUUGCUCUCCUCCUCAUUACUCACUCUCUCCUAUAUAACACUCUCAUCACAACGUAUAUACAUAUAUUCUCUUCUUCUAGAAUGUUCUCUUGCUUCUAUUAUUCUCGCAAGUUCUACACUUGUCAAGCACUCGAGAACACCAGAAUUCUCACAAUCGUGAAAGAGCGAUUUCUCUCCAUAAUAUGUUUUCCACCACCCCUACCACUACUACCGACUCUAACUCUAACAAUAACAAUAAUAUGUUUCACUUCCGUUUUCUUCAAAAACAACAAUAAUGACAUUGAUCAUAACAACAUAAUCCCUCCGUCCCAUUUUAUGUGGCACCAUUUUCUUUUUGGUCAGUCUAAAAAAAAAUGUCACAUUUCCUUAUAUGGUAAGUAUUUAAAGGUAUAAUUCCUCUUUUACCCUUGUUGGUCCUACUUAAUCUUAAAAUAAUACUCCAAUACAUUUAUGAGGAGAGAGAAAAGUGAGUCUAUUUUUUAAAGGGCAAUUUGGUAAACAUUUCAAAGUCUUCAUUUAUUUCUUAAAUUCCGUGCCCGGUCAAAUGUUAUCACAUAAAAUGAGACGGAUGGAGUAUAUGUUUAUGUUUUCCUUUAACCGGCUAAAACACAAUAACUUGUAUUAUUAGACGACCACAAAACAAUACACACAAAAGACUCAGACUUCACUUCUCAAGUCCAAACCAAUGUUAGAAAUCAAACAUGACACACAAUAAGUAAACAUUUAAGGCACAAACAAAGAAGUGAGAAAUCAGUUAGAUUCCAUCCACUGUACAAUUUCUUCUUUCAUAUGCCUGUCAGUUAGAUUCCAUCCACGGUACAAUUAGAUUCCACAAACAAAGAAGGGAUCAUGCAACCUUCUUUAUAUCAUAGGACUACAUAGUUACCUUCCUGAUAAUUUUGUGAGAUAGGGUGUGUUUGGUACGAAGGAAAAUAUUUUCCGGAAAAUAUUUUCCAAUUUUCUCAUGUUUGGUUGGGUAAAAUGUUUUUCAAAUCAACUUAUUUUCCUCAAAUUCAAAGAAAAUGACUUCCCUUCAAAAAAUUAAGGAAAGCAUUUUCCAAAACUUUCCUCCAAUUUCAAAUUACAAUUUUUUUGUUGAAAAAAAUAAAUUUAAAGCUUAUUUUUAAAUAAACAUUUUUCAACUUCAAUUUUUUUAUUUUUNNNNNNNNNNNNNNNNNNNNNNNNNNNNNNNNNNNNNNNNNNNNNNNNNNNNNNNNNNNGCGACCCCGCCCUCCCAAAAAAAAUUAAGUUUGUUUUGUUUAAAAAAAAAAUUAAUUUCAAAUUCUUUUUUUACCCCAUCUCACCCUUACCCCCCCCCCCCCCCCCCCCCCAAAAAAAAAAAAUUAAGUUUAUUUUAAAAAUAUUUUCAAUUUCAAUUCAAAAAUUAUUUUCUACUUCUCUAGUAAAAAAAGAGAUAUUUUCAUUCAUAAAUCAAACACUAAAAUUUUUUGUCUUGUCUAUUGGAGUUAGCUUGUUGACAGUUGAUGGAAUGCAUAUAUGUAUUUAUUGCACUGGUAUUUUUUUCUGUCCUUAUGUUUUAUUAUUUGUGUAGAUUUGAAGGAAUAUGUUGGAGCAAAUUCAGCACUCACAUUUGAAUCACAUCAACUGUAGUUGUCCAGUCAAAAACAUCUGAAAUUUCUAUGUCAAGCAAUGAGCUUCAGGAUGCAAUGGGGUCAGAUGAAUUCUAUGAUGCAAUAGGUACUGAUUCGUCAUCAUCAGAUUAAGCAAGUUUGUUGUUUCUUGUGUUCCUACAUCAAAGGCAGUGUAAUAGUUCCAGAAACUAUCUUGUUCAAUUACCUUGCCUUUGAACCUUUUAUGUGUUUUUUAAACUCUUUAUUUACCUGUGACAGGACAAAAAGGUCAAGCUAAAAAAUGUUUCAUGGGCCAUAGCAAGCUUGACCUUAAAGAGGACAUCGGGUAACUAAAGUCAUUGCUACCUCUCUUGCUUUGGUAUAUAUGGAAGCCUCUCUGUAGCAUUUCAAUUUGUAAUCAUGUUCCAUCAUCAGUUACUCUAAAUACUAAGAAGAUCAUGAUGAUUUACUUGAGAUGGUAUUAAUGAAGAACAUUAGUCCUCUUCAAGACCAAUUAAAAUUAAACACAAGAUUUUUUUACUCAAAAAUAAGGGCUUAACAUUGGCAACAGAUGUGAACCAUCUCUUCUUCCACUGCACUUUCACCACCCAACUUUGGAGUGUAAUGUUGAGUGUUUUGGUACUAAGUGAAGCUAUGCCUAGACUAGCCAAACACUCCUCCUAUGCCAGUACAGGAAAAGUUUAGCAAAGUGUUGAUUAAAUUUUGUCUUCUAUCCCUUUAAUCUUCUCUCCCUUCAUAUUUGAACUUGAAACUUCAAGGUGAAUUUUGAAUCUCUUAACCACUAAGUCUAAUAUUGUGUUUAGAAUGUUCAAAAUCGAUAUAUAUAUAUAUAUAUAUAUACACACAUAAAAAGUUUUAAAACUACCUUACAUAUGUUGAGAAUGUAUGACGCGACUUUUAUUGAUGUCAACUUUCCGAUUAUUGGGAGAUUCAUUCACUAAAUUUAUAGAUUCACUCGUACCAUUUUUUCAAUGUAUAAAAGAAAAGAAGAGUGGAUACCCUUGUUUACAUGUUAGUGUCACAUGCAUGAUAUUGGCAGAGAGGAAGAUGGAAAAGUCUUUGCUUAAAAACGAGUGAUCCUUUACUCUUGGUUUAUGGUUGCGGUCAGAAUAGCCAAGCAGGAUUGAGGAGGAAUGAGCACAACUCAUCUUAUUUAUUUACUACUACUAGAAUUGAUCAACUAACUCUGCAUUUUUUUUACUGAGUCUUCUUUUAUCACUCCUGACCUUACAAAUUCUGUUUAAACCCCGUCCUUUUACCUUAACGGAACGUAAACUAGUAUAAUAAACACAAGAAUCUUCCAACCAAACAAGAGGUAUCAAUCGAUUCACUAGAGUAUUAGUUAAGGAAAAAUAUGAGUAUUGCCCGUAGGGACUAGAGACCUACAGCUUUCUUCCUACUAAUCAUGCGUGAUGAAUCUGAUGAUCCACCAGUUCCCAGACACUACCAGUUGUAUACACAUAAGAGACGAACAUAUGUAGGUGAGAACUCAGAAAUAACAAAACAAACAUUACAGUACAUUUGUAACACCUCAGAAAUUAGUAAGUUAAACUAGAGCCUAAACGUGAGGACUAGUGUAACAUUCCGGAAUUUGUUUAGACUAAACUAGAGCUAAAAUGAAAGGGGUAAAAGUUUAAGAAGAGGGCAAGGGCCUAAGCUACCAAGAAAGAGUGAAGGAAAACAUGUUCUUCCUUAGGACCUUUUAGCGAGGGGACAACAUGGUCGCCCAAGGGACUUGGCGAGUUGCCCAUGUCCCAUUGGGGUCGCCUAGUGGACUAUCCCAUGAACUAGUUGCUGGAAAUGUAGGCGAGCUAGGUCGGGGCUCGCCUACUAGGUUGGCGCAUCGUCCAUAGACCCUCUCCAUCGCCUAAGUGAUAUGCUACUACUUGAAAUGCUUUAAAAGUAACAGGACUAUAACAACACUCUCCAUUUCGUAAUAGAAGAAAGCGUAGAAAAGAAAGGUUUUGAGGGAGAAUUCUUGAAAAUUAGGCGACCCAAGGGACCAUUAGGUGUGUCGCGUAGUGCCCUUGGAUAGCCAAGAGGGGUAAGUUGGCGAGCCAAGUCGUGUAGGUUAGUUAAUUUUAAGUUGAAACUUUAAGGGUCUUUAGUUUUCUUCCAAAAUUGAACCUACAUUAUUUUACUGUUUUCCUAGUAAGUAUAUAAGAUUUUUAGACUCAAAUUUUCCCCAAUUAAGUCACUUUUAAAGAAUCAAAAAGAAAACCCAAGAGUUCAUCUUCCUCACAAUAUUUCUCUCUAAAACUCCAAGAAGAAGAAGAGUUGAAUUGGAGCUAGGGUUUGGUGAUUUCAAGGCUUCUUCCUCAAAUUCUUUGAAGAUUCUUAAUCAAGGUAUGAUAGUUUUUCAUCUAUGGGUAGCUUUCACCCAUGGAGGCCCUUCAAAACUAGAUUUCAAAGCUUUCAAUUUCCCCAAAAAGUUAGGGUUUCACUCUAAGUCAUGUGUUUCUUCCUCAAACGUAUUCAAUGGUUGAUUUAUGAUGGAUUAUGAUUGAAUUGUUGAUUAAUUGACGAUUUAUGAUGAAAUCCCCUCAAGAACCCAUGAAUUUCCCUAUAUUGCUAAAUUGUGACUUCUUGAUGUGGGUUGAUUGAUUAUAGAAGCAUGUGAAUAGAUUAUGUCUAUAUUGAUUGAGUUAUUGAAUCAUGAUAUUAUCCUUAUGUAAUGUAGUAACUCUAGAUGUUGGGUUGAAUGUAACUCAUGGUACUUGAAGGGAAAAUUAUGAGGGUUUGUACAUGUGUAUGAGGAUUGUUGUAUAAUCAUGAUGUUUGUGUAUAUGCCUUGUGAAUAUAUUGAAAGUAAUGUGAUCAUGACUACAAUGCAAUUGUGUUAUUAUUGAAAGGUUAUUCUCAAUUAUACACUUGUGCAUGAUGAUGAUAUAUUGUGAAAGGUUUCUUCAAUGUAAUGUUAUACCUUGAAUUGGUAGGCUUAGGGCAACAUCUUCUUGUAUAAUCGAAAGUAUCUUGACUUAAUGAACAUUGAAUCGGUAGACCUAAUGGUGGUAGCCCUUUCAUAAGUGAUUAAUGAAGUAUUCUAAGGCGUUGUCUUGACUUGGUAGACCUAAUGGCGGUAGCCCUUUUAUGAUGAGUCUAUGAACUACUAUAAUAAUGAACCUUGAAUUGGUAGACCUAAUGGUGGUGUCCCUUUCUUGAGGAUUCCAUGAGCUGUCCUAAUAAUGUACCUUGAAUCGGUAGACCUAAUGGUGGUAGGCCUUUCAUGUGUAAUAAUGUUAAUGAGAACGAACUACUCUAUGGGAAUUUAAAGCUUAGCACCGAGUGUAAAUCCUAAGGUGGAAGCUCUCCCCACGUUAGGCCGGGUUUCAAUGAACACCUUCCUUAUCCCAUAAAUAUGUGCCCACAUAAGUUAUUAGCUAGUGGAUCCAUCUAAGCUAAAAUGUUACCGGUCCUACCUUAGGCAAGUAGACCAACCCUUUACGGUGUGGGAUAGACACCGGAUUCCAUGAUUUGCUCACAUGGUCUAUGUUGGUUAGGGCUUAUUCCCGUCAUAUGAGUUAAGUGUUAUGGUUACUCAUGAAGUUCUAUGAAGUGUGGGUGGUAGUAUAAGAUGCCAUCCAUGCAUUGCACGAGUAGGCUUUGAGAGUGGCUAUGGCGUGUUUCUCUAUUGUCAUAAUGUCUAAUGAAAUGAAUAUGCUCAAAAUGAUGCUAAUGAGAAUGGUGACUUAAAGGCUUAAUGUAAUGAUGAAUGCUUAACUUGGAUUGUUAUUAUGAGUUGUUUUCCUUGUCAUGACUUAUUGAAUAUGAAUGUUCACUCGUCUAUGAGUACUAACUAAAGAUGAGGAUGAAGAAUGGUAAGUAUAUUAUGGUGGCAUCAAAGUGGUACUUAGUAAGAAUGGUAUUAUGAGAUGUCAUUCAUACAUUGCACAAGUAUAACUUAGGGUUAACUUAGAAUGAUGGUUCUAAUGUGUUAUAAUGACUUACAUGAUGAAUAUGCUGAUGUCUUAUGUGGUUAUACUAAAGUUCAUAAUGUUUCUCAAACUUGACAUAUGGCAUGGUUUUCAACCAAAUGUCCCUUUUAGCAUGAUUUUGCAUGGCUAUCAUACUUAGUGCAUUUUUGUGCUAACGUAUAUUUCUUCUACAUUUUUACAAAGUGUAGGUUCUGGAUCUUAAGGUGAUUUCUUUGGAGUAAAGCUUGGAUUGACUAUUCUCUAAGCUAGUGGUGAGUCCUCAAGAUUCGAGGACAUAUGAGAGUCUUUAGUAGUUUCUUUCAUGUCAUUUUACGUUUCGGACUAUGUUGAAGGGCUGUGACCCUAUUAUUGAUUCAAAGUUGUGAUGGCC